Molecule: ribosomal RNA, 409 nt
Filed under: uncultured bacterium
Lineage: Bacteria
Description: bacterial SSU rRNA
Rfam family: Bacterial small subunit ribosomal RNA
Source: RNAcentral
AGCGGCCGAUGUCUGAUUAGCUACUUGGUGAGGUAACGGCUCACCAAGGCUACGACGGGUAGCUGGUCUGAGAGGAUGAUCAGCCACACUGGAACUGAGACACGGUCCAGACUCCUACGGGAGGCAGCAGUGGGGAAUCUUGCGCAAUGGGCGAAAAGCCUGACGCAGCGACGCCGCGUGGGUGACGAAGGCCUUCGGGUUGUAAAGCCCUGUGGGGAGGAACGAACCGUCCGGGGGCCGAACUACCUCCGGGCCUGACGGUACCGUCUUUAGUCAAGCAUCGGCUAACUCUGUGCCAGCAGCCGCGGUAAGACAGAGGAUGCGAACGUUGCUCGGAAUUACUGGGCGUAAAGCGCGCGUAGGUGGCCUUGUAAGUCUCGUGUGAAAGCCUCUGCUCAACGGAGGAAGU